GAUGAACGCUAGCGGCAGGCUUAACACAUGCAAGUCGAGGGGUAACAGGGAGAAGCUUGCUUUUCUGCUGACGACCGGCGCACGGGUGCGUAACGCGUAUGCAACCUACCUUCUACAGGGGGAUAGCCCAGAGAAAUUUGGAAUAAUACCCCAUACGAUCAAUGAUUGGCAUCGAUUAUUGAAGAAAACUCCGGUGGUAGAAGAUGGGCAUGCGUCCUAUUAGUUAGUUGGUGAGGUAACGGCUCACCAAGACGUCGAUAGGUAGGGGCCCUGAGAGGGGGAUCCCCCACACUGGUACUGAGACACGGACCAGACUCCUACGGGAGGCAGCAGUGAGGAAUAUUGGACAAUGGGGGCAACCCUGAUCCAGCCAUGCCGCGUGCAGGAAGACUGCCCUAUGGGUUGUAAACUGCUUUUAUACAGGAAGAAACCUACUUACGUGUAAGUAGCUGACGGUACUGUAAGAAUAAGGAUCGGCUAACUCCGUGCCAGCAGCCGCGGUAAUACGGAGGAUCCAAGCGUUAUCUGGAAUCAUUGGGUUUAAAGGGUCCGUAGGUGGUUAAUUAAGUCAGAGGUGAAAGCCAGCAGCUCAACUGUUGAACUGCCUUUGAUACUGAUUAACUUGAGUUAUUGUGAGGUAGUUAGAAUACGUAGUGUAGCGGUGAAAUGCAUAGAUAUUACAUAGAAUACCGAUUGCGAAGGCAGAUUACUAACAAUACACUGACACUGAGGGACGAAAGCGUGGGUAGCGAACAGGAUUAGAUACCCUGGUAGUCCACGCCGUAAACGAUGGUCACUAGCUGUUCGAUCAACAUUGGUUGGUUGAGUGGCUAAGCGAAAGUGAUAAGUGACCCACCUGGGGAGUACGCUCGCAAGAGUGAAACUCAAAGGAAUUGACGG
Molecule: ribosomal RNA, 900 nt
Filed under: uncultured Bacteroidota bacterium
Lineage: Bacteria; Pseudomonadati; Bacteroidota
Description: bacterial SSU rRNA
Rfam family: Bacterial small subunit ribosomal RNA
Source: RNAcentral